RNAcentral lists this transfer RNA (78 nucleotides) under Bacillus velezensis. RNAcentral describes it as "tRNA-Met". It matches the Rfam family "tRNA". From Rfam's summary of the family: Transfer RNA (tRNA) molecules are approximately 80 nucleotides in length. Their secondary structure includes four short double-helical elements and three loops (D, anti-codon, and T loops). Lineage: Bacteria; Bacillati; Bacillota; Bacilli; Caryophanales; Bacillaceae. The record is from RNAcentral.
CGCGGGGGUGGAGCGGUUCGAUGGCUCGUCGAGGCUCAUAACCCGAAGGUCGCAGGUUCAAAUCCUGCCCCGCAACCA